Molecule: ribosomal RNA, 233 nt
Filed under: uncultured bacterium
Lineage: Bacteria
Description: partial 16S ribosomal RNA
Rfam family: Bacterial small subunit ribosomal RNA
Source: RNAcentral
UGAAGAAUUUGUCCAACGGUGGGGGUAGCCGGCCCAACGGCCGGGUAAUACCGCGUACGCCCUUCGAGCGGCAUCGCUUGAUGGGGAAAGUCGCAAGACGCCGAUGGAGAACUUCGCGGCCUAUCAGCUAGUUGGUGAGGUCAUGGCUCACCAAGGCGACGACGGGUAGCUGGUCCGAGAGGAUGACCAGCCACAUUGGGACUGAGACACGGCCCAGACUCCUACGGGAGCAG